Molecule: ribosomal RNA, 468 nt
Filed under: uncultured bacterium
Lineage: Bacteria
Description: partial 16S ribosomal RNA
Rfam family: Bacterial small subunit ribosomal RNA
Source: RNAcentral
GACGAACGCUGGCGGCGUGCUUAACACAUGCAAGUCGAACGGAAAGGCCCUGCUUUUGUGGGGUGCUCGAGUGGCGAACGGGUGAGUAACACGUGAGUAACCUGCCCUUGACUUUGGGAUAACUUCAGGAAACUGGGGCUAAUACCGGAUAGGAGCUCCUGCUGCAUGGUGGGGGUUGGAAAGUUUCGGCGGUUGGGGAUGGACUCGCGGCUUAUCAGCUUGUUGGUGGGGUAGUGGCUGACCAAGGCUUUGACGGGUAGCCGGCCUGAGAGGGUGACCGGCCACAAUGGGACUGAGGUACGGCCCAGACUCCUACGGGAGGCAGCAGUGGGGAAUAUUGCACAAUGGGCGGAAGCCUGAUGCAGCAACGCCGCGUGCGGGAUGACGGCCUUCGGGGUGUAAACCGCUUUCGCCUGUGACGAAGCGGGAGUGACGGUAAUGGGUAAAGAAGCACCGGCUAACUACGUG